GACCUCUUAGCUCAGCGGUAGAGCAUCUGAUUCCAGCGUACCCGACGGGCUACCGCUUAGCCAUCAGGUAGUCAGCUUCCAGAAGGUCGUCCGUUCAAUCCGGGCAGAGGUCA
Molecule: non-coding RNA, 113 nt
Organism: Mycena olivaceomarginata
Lineage: Eukaryota; Fungi; Basidiomycota; Agaricomycetes; Agaricales; Mycenaceae
Source: the annotation of a GenBank genome assembly